RNAcentral lists this ribosomal RNA (497 nucleotides) under uncultured bacterium. RNAcentral's name for it is "partial 16S ribosomal RNA". It matches the Rfam family "Bacterial small subunit ribosomal RNA", at positions 28 to 507 of the family's 1533-position model. The record is from RNAcentral.
GAUGAACGCUGGCGGCGUGCCUAAUACAUGCAAGUCGAGCGAACAGACGAGGAGCUUGCUCCUCUGACGUUAGCGGCGGACGGGUGAGUAACACGUGGAUAACCUACCUAUAAGGCUGGGAUAACUUCGGGAAACCGGAGCUAAUACCGGAUAAUAUAUUGAACCGCAUGGUUCAAUAGUGAAAGACGGUUUUGCUGUCACUUAUAGAUGGAUCCGCGCCGCAUUAGCUAGUUGGUAAGGUAACGGCUUACCAAGGCGACGAUGCGUAGCCGACCUGAGAGGGUGAUCGGCCACACUGGAACUGAGACACGGUCCAGACUCCUACGGGAGGCAGCAGUAGGGAAUCUUCCGCAAUGGGCGAAAGCCUGACGGAGCAACGCCGCGUGAGUGAUGAAGGUCUUCGGAUCGUAAAACUCUGUUAUUAGGGAAGAACAAAUGUGUAAGUAACUAUGCACGUCUUGACGGUACCUAAUCAGAAGGCCACGGCUAACUACGUG